AAUAAAUGUUAUUCUAUACUAUACUGUCGUGUGGCCAGUCUUUCCAGGGAGUGGGGGUAAGAGAUGCCUUGCCAUGGGCCUGCCGAGGCACCCCAUUCCCAUACCUCACCAUACCCUCAGUAGAACAUAUUCCCUCUCUCUUUAUCUUUGUAUAAACACAUCAGUUAAUGUGAUCACAUUCUAGUUAAUACUUGUAACCAGAAAUAACAUGAGAAAUGUGCACAAAGCUCUUUGAAGGACAUUGGCAAGCAAGGAUGCUCUUCUCCCCAUCUGUCUUCCUGAAUGUAGUGCUGGCAGCAUCAGCACACUGGAGUUCCAGCUCUGUACUGACCACCCCAGGAAACACUGCACAGGUCUCUGGAGGGGUGACUGCACUUUUUUAUUCCUCUGAUGAUGCAAUGCUACUGCUGGGUGAUGUGAACACUGAGCUUCAGGCAGAAGUUUUUGCCACAGUAGUAAGCAAUAAACAUCUUGAGGAUGUCAUCAAUGACCCUCCAGAAGCUGAUGGCUCCCCUCAGAAAGUACCUAGUCUCCCCUUCCUUCACACAUAAUAUUGGAAGGUACCUGGAACCUAGCACAGAGCAGGACAGACAUGUGAUCAGAAGUCGCAUGGCAAACUGACAUGAUCAAAAGCACAAUGUCUCAGACCUCUAAGAAAUGCCUCCUGAAACAUUGCUAACUUCACAAACACAAUGAGUUGCUCAGAUAAGCUUCCGGUGUCCUUCAUCUUCGUGUUGCUAUGUGGUGGCUGGACUACUAGUAGCAGUUUUCUCUGAAACCCUUCAAAGCACAGAGGUGGCAUAAACCAGUUAGUUGACUAUUCUCUGAUUUCCACAGGUCAACAGAAGCCAUUUGUCCAUCUGUCCAGAAACACUUGCACAUUGACUUCUAAGUAUCCCCUUCUCAGAAGUGUAACCCUGUAAUAAUUAUUCAUUUGAUAUACAAGAAUCGCAUUUUGCUGCUGUAUUCAAACAUGACAGAGGUGAAAGAACAAGACUGCUGAAUGCUAUGUAAAACCUCCUUCACAAAGCUCUUAAACCUAUUCACUAUGGCUCCACCUCCAUGUUUUAAUCUCCCCCCCCCAAAAUCCUAACUCUUAAUUAUAGCACAUUGUUGAUUAUGUUUCAAUGCAUGAAUAUUGGAAAGGAAUAAAAACUUAAAAACAAAACCAAUAAAUAGCACAGCAGUGACUUACCACACAUUCAUGUGUUUGCAUACACACGCAUACAUACAUACAUACAUACACACACACACACACACACACAAAACCUACAAAGUAUUUUGCCAAUAUUUAGUUAUGAAUCUAUUUGUAGUUAACAAAGUGUCUUAGUCACUGAUCUGUUGCUGUGAAGAGACACCAUGACUAAGGCAACUCAUACAAAAAAAAAAUAUUUAACUGGAAACUUGCUUAGAGUUUAGGGGGUUAGUCCAUGAUGAUCAUGGUGGAAAGCAGACAGGCAUUACAUUGGAGCAAUAGCUGAGAGCCUUAUAUCCUUAUAUGCAGGCAGCAGGCAGAUAGAGGGAUAUGCUGGGCCUGGUGUGAGCCUUUAAAACCUCAAAGCCAAUCCCCAAUAACAUAUCUCCUCCUACAAGGCUAUAUCCACUCUAAAAAGGCCACACUUUCUAAUACUUUUCAAACAGUUCUACUAACUGGGAACCAAGCCUCCAAACGUAUGAGCUUCUAGUGGCCAUUCUCACUCAAACUAUUACAUUCCACUCCCUGAACUCCAUAAAGCCUGUAGCCACAUCAUAAAGCAAAUUACAGUCAGUCCAACUUCAAAAGUCCCCAUAGUCUCAACACUAUUUGAAAGUUCAAAGAUCAAACUCUCUUCUGAUAUUUAAUGUAAAUUCUUAACUGUAAACUUCCUAUAAGAUCAAAAAACUAAUUAUAUGUUUUCAACAUACAGUGGCCUACAUUCCAAACAAGAGGAAAUGGUGCAUAGUGAGGAAAUUCUGGAACAAAGCAAAACCAAAAAACCAGAAGGAAAAACUCCAAAUUCUGUGUCUACAUUCUGUGCCAAAAUGGUCUUAAGGUCUCCCACUCCUCCCAGCUUUAUUGACUGCAGCACACUUCUCUCUCUUGAGCUGGUUCCACAUCCAGUGUCCUCUGGUAUCCCUAAAGCCGUCUAGGCUUUACUGUCACAGCUUUGUACAACGGCCUUCAUGAAUGGACUCCCUUAACUGGCCUCAGUGGUUUUUCUUAACUUCCAAGGAAAACUAUGCAACUCCUUUCCUGUAUCCUUCAUGACUCUAAGUUCAGAACCCUAUGGCAGAAGUUUCCAUCCUGCUUUCUAGAGCUAGAAAGUGACCCAUCCUUCAGUUACAUUUACAUAAAUUUCUAUUGCUGGGGGUUUUCUUUGCUGCUUAAGCUUUGCUUCAACUCCUUUUUCACAGGUUGGAAGCUUAGCUGGUUUGGGAUCUUGCCCUAAGGGGACUCCUUUCUAAUUCCAAUUUGAAGCAGGUCUUUGUUUAAUCUUUUUAUCUCUUUGAACAGGACUUGACUAUGGCAGUAUAUUUUCUGGUCCUUCUUUUCUCCUCAAAUUGUACGUUCUGGUUUUGUUCAGCUUGUACCUUUUCAUUUUAGAUCUGCAUGAAUGAUUGAUUACUAAUAACUACAUGACACCAUGAAUACUGUCUUGAAAUCUCCUAAUGAAACCUUUAAUCCAAAUGUCUUCAAUUCAACUUCAAACAAAGUUUCAGGACAAAGGUAAAAAACAGCCACAUUUUUUGCCAAAAUAAAACAAAACCUGUCUCUAAGCCACUUACUAACAUUCUUUCCCUCUGAAACUUCUUGAAUUAGGCAUGCACAGUCCACAAAGCUCUCAGCACCACUGUCUUCCAUGCUCCUACUAGGAUAACCCAUUAAGCCCCACUUAAAGCAGUCAAUGACUUUCCUAAUCUAAAGUCCCAAAGUCUUUUAUAUUUUUCCAACUAACAGCAUAGGCAUACCUAUCACAGCAAUAUACCAUUCCCCAGUAUAAACUUAUAUCUUGGUUAGUAUUGCUGCAAAGAGACAACAUAAACGAGAAAAUUUUUAUAAAAGAAAAUAUUUAGUAGGGGUCUUUCUAACAGUUUUAGAGGUUUAAUGCAUAAUUGUAGUGGUAAGCAGAUAGACAUUGCCCUGGAGAAGUAGCUGAAAGUUUUAUACAUCUUUAUCUGCAGUCAGCAGGCAGAGAGAAAGAAAGGGUAGCACUGGGGGGAUGGGGCUGGCAUGGACUUUUGAAACCUCAAAGCUGAUCCCAGACACACCUCCUCCAACAAGAUCAUGUCCAAUCUAACUAAGUCAUAUGUCCUAAUCCUUCUCAAAUAGUACUAAUAAUCGGGGACCAAACAGUCGAGAAUGAUCCUUUGAGGGUUUUCUCAUUCAAAUCUCUACAUCAUUGUCUCGUACGUCCACAGUCAUCUGACUAAUUAGCAAGUUAUACCUGAAACGAGAAAUACUUGCCCUUAUAACUCUCUGGUAGAACACAUAUGUGACAUAAGUCUGAGGAAGUCCCUCUGUGACCCAUGUAUGAUAAGUCACCACCACCACUCGGUUCAAUUAUUUGCUAAACUGACUCUCAGAAACAGCAAAGCAACUUUACUCAUUGCUACAAUUUAUGAAACAGAGAGAAUAUAGGCUAAUUCAGCAGUGGGGAAAGCUUGUCUUGUAGCAUCUAAGAAGGCCUGAUGUAGAGUGUCAGUUGUUCCUUUCUAGGAGAGCUGUGUAAUACUAAAUUAUAUAACAAUGAUACAUGAUUCCUCAUACAAAGUAAUGACAACCAGCAAUUUCAACCAAGCUUUGCUGUCCAUAGUUUUUGUUGUUAACCAGUCUUGUGAAACAUCUUUAUGGUUUAUUUUAGCCACAUGUACUCUAGUUCCUAAGAGGUCAAACUGAUGACACAUGGCUAAAUAGACACUGUCUCAAUCAAACUGGUAGCAAAAUCAGGUAAACAAGAACACAAACAUCAGGCAAACUAUUCCACAAACCCCAGAGAUGUCUCUCAGAAGCUAAUUCAAGAGCCAGUCCUUUCACUAAUUACCCCUUCACUAAACUGAUCUUCUACCUUAUUUGUACUUUAUCUUAUUCAUUAACUUAUCCCAUCUGACUUUUCUCAAUUCUUUCCAUGCAUUUUAAGUUGUAAUUGGAGAAUUUUAAUUUUUCUGAGAUAUAUCCCAGCAGCAAACAACAACAAAUGAUUACCACAACCAAGAUCUAUCCAGGUUGUCCCCAUUCUUACCUCAUAGCUUUGGAAUGUUCAAGCUGACAUUCUUACAGCUUGGCAAUCCUAUACUCAUGAAAGUUUUUCUUUCCUAAGAAUUCCAACCACAUACCAAAAAUCCAGACAGACUUUUUUUUUAAAUGGGAGAAAGGAGUUUAUUUGGUUUCUACUUCCAGAUCACAGACAGACUUUUUGAAGUCAAUUGAUCCAGCCACUGAGGUAAGGCAGUGACCAGGUCUGGUGAUAGGAGCAUCAUUUGGUCACUUGGUUAGAAAUGAAAGUGACUGUUUCAUUAAAGCAGAAUAAGCUUAUUGUAAACAGAAGAGGAAGCAGUUUUUUCCCUUAAUAUUUAUUGACCAAGGGUGGAGGUAUACCUACUCAAAUAGUAUACACAAGCUCCCAUAAGCGUAAGGACCGAAACUGAAUCUCUUGCAUCUGCAUAGAAAAGCUAGAUGUGGUGGUAUGCACCUGUAAUAUUCUAAAACCAUAGGAUACAAUACUGCAGUACUCAAGACAAGGGUCUUUAUGACAAAUUCAUAAGAAAACACAUUUCUUAUGCAUAUGAACAAUGAAAACAAAAAAAGUAAUCAAGGCUAAACUUACUUUAUCUUUCAUAAGAAAAGAAAAAACAGGAAAUUUAGAGGUGAUGGCAAAAGACUAUUGAAAAAUAAAUACGUGAAAAAAAAAAGAAAUCUGACAGGCUUUACACACUGGGACACUGACCUCUGAGAAGUGCAGAUAAGAGGCUAAAACCUUGAGUUUUCUUGACUAUCUGUCUAUUAAACAGUGUUAUGCCAAUUCCUUCUGAUUGUGCUCAGAAGUAUCAGAAACCAUACCAGAAUUUAUAUGUCACCAUGGAAGGAGAUCAAAGGGUUUUGAUCUGGGAAACAAAGGCAUCUCAAGAGGAAUUCAUUUAAGUGACUCUGCUGACCACUGGAGUCUUCUAAUGAUUAUUCUACUUUGACCUUCAACAGUCUUCAAACCUGCCUCUCCCCAUUCAAUAGUUUUAAUUAACUUUCCAGGGCUUAACCCUUAAAGAUAAAUGGGCAAAGUUCAAAACAUAUUUGGAUCUACCGCCAUGAAAGGUAGGUGUACUGGCUAGUUUUGUGUCAAUAUGACACAGCUGGAGUUAUCACAGAGAAAGGAACUUCAGUUGAGGAAAUGCCUCCAUGAGAUCCAACUGUAAGGCAUUUUCUCAGUUAAUGAUCAAGGGGGAAAUGCCCCUUGUGGGUGGGACCAUCUCUGGGCUGGUAGUCUUGGGUUCUAUAAGAGAGCAGGCUGAGCAAGCCAGGGAAAGCAAGCCAGUAAAGAACAUCUCUCCAUGGCCUCUGCAUCAGCUCCUACUUUCUGACCUGCUUGAAUUCCAGUCCUGACUUCCUUGGUGAUGAACAGCAGUAUGGAAGUGUAAGCUGAAUAAACCCUUUCCUCUCCAACUUGCUUCUUGGUCGUGAUGUUGGUGCAGGAAUAGAAACCCUGACUAAGACAGUAGGUUUUGUUGAUGGAUCAUUUAAAUAUCUUAACUAAUGCCAUGUCUUCCAUUCUGGUUGACCUGUAACUUCUCAGACUUCUCCUACUCUGAUUCUGGCCUUGCCCAUGUGUCUUGAAUCAGCCAGUGGGAAAGUAGUUAACUAUGUAAGUAGAAGCUUGAAGUACCUCUGAGUAUUUCCACUGCCACUCACAUGUAGUGUUGAAGUCUAGCUGACACUCUUCCAUACUUUUAAAUGUACUGACAGGCACCUAUCUGUAUCCCUACUUAACAGGCUUCUACUGCCAGGACAUGACAUUGUGUCAUCUCAUAGGGAAGUUAGGGUUCAUAAAGGGUUGCUACAUCCCAGUCCCACCUCUUUCCCUGACUUCUGCCUGGGAAUCCUAGAGCCUGGCUGCAAAAUCAUGCUAUGUACUACUCUCGACCUCAGUAUAUUAGUUUGCUUCUAUGCUGCUGCAAUGAAAGACUGACCUCAGUAACUUAGGGAAGAGUUUAUUUGGCUUAAAGGUUCCAGGCCAUCAUCCGGAGAGGGCACCUUUGGAGCUCAAUUCAGGAACCCAGAAGCAUGAAUGGAAGCAGAUCUGGUGGAGGAAUCUUGCAUAAUAAUGUAUUAGAUAGGAAAAGUAUAAACUCCGGUGUGAAGCUUUACAGUUUACGAAUGACUUCUAUCUGUAUAGAAGUUUGCUGAUCUAUAUAGACUUUGAGUCCAGGUAAUUUUGGUGUAUGAUGUGUUUUUAUUUUCAUGUUCUUUAUAAAUAAAUUUUAAAUUAGAAAACAAAAAAAGAAAGAAGAAAAUAAAAGAAAAAUAAAUACGUGGACCUAAGAAUGAGAGAAUGGAAAGAACUUCCCUAAUUUACAUAUAAAAGCCAGAUAUGGUGUUAUGUAAUCUCAGUGCUGGGCAGUGGACACCGGAGGAUCCCUAUCUCACACAAGGUAGCCAGUCUCACAGACUCAGUGUCCAUGGGUCUUAUUAAGACACUAGGAUGGCUGCUAAGAAAUAAUUUCCAAGGUUGGACUCUAGCCUCCACACGCCAACACAUAUACAUCUACCCAUGUACUCUAAUGGAGACAGUUUCCAUCUACUUCUAACUGUGGUUUGAGAAUUCUGCUGUUGUCGGUUCAUCUUUUUCUUGGUGAAGUGAGUUGACAGCAGUUGUCAUAGGCAAUUACAGCCCAGAACACAAAGCUGUAAGUCCCAUCUGGAGAGACUGGACACCUCAACUGGCACAAGCCAGCAGGAUCCUUGGGAAAUAUGAAUUUAUUCCAUGGGGCUUCUCAGAUUCUCUUUAACUUCUUAGCAAGAGGCAUUCUUUUAGGACACUCCUUAGUUUUCAGCCUUGUUUGGGUCCCCUUACAGCUUUAGUUUGAAAAGCUGAUUUUUCAGAAUGUGAUUUGGCAGGGACAAAUAGAGCCUCUGUCAGGAGAGCACACAUACCCCACUGAGAAGGUGAUGAAAAAGAACAGUAUGAAGGAUUCCAGCAGCCGAUUCCGAGAUACUGCUACCUGCUGAGAGGCCCCC
Mus musculus (house mouse) is the source of this 7207-nucleotide long non-coding RNA. RefSeq annotates it as predicted gene, 53872. The record is from RefSeq and is a predicted model, not a curated record. Lineage: Eukaryota; Metazoa; Chordata; Mammalia; Rodentia; Muridae. The transcript has 3 exons.